Molecule: ribosomal RNA, 397 nt
Filed under: uncultured bacterium
Lineage: Bacteria
Description: partial 16S ribosomal RNA
Rfam family: Bacterial small subunit ribosomal RNA
Source: RNAcentral
AUACGUAGGUGGCGAGCGUUAUCCGGAAUUACUGGGUGUAAAGGGCGCGUAGGCGGCUUUGCAAGUCAGUAGUGGAAGUCCAUUUUUCAAGGAUGGAAGUGCUACAGAAACUGCGGAGCUUGAGUGCAGGAGAGGUUAUCGGAAUUCCCGGUGUAGCGGUGAAAUGCGUAGAGAUCGGGAGGAACACCAGUGGCGAAGGCGGGUAACUGGACUGCAACUGACGCUGAGGCGCGAAAGUGUGAGGAGCAAACAGGAUUAGAUACCCUGGUAGUCCACACUGUAAACGAUGAAUGCUAGGUGUAGGAGGUAUCGACCCCUUCUGUGCCGCAGUAAACACAGUAAGCAUUCCGCCUGGGGAGUACGGUCGCAAGAUUAAAACUCAAAGGAAUUGACGGGG